This 76-nucleotide transfer RNA is filed under the name bacterium. Its description in RNAcentral is "tRNA-Val". It matches the Rfam family "tRNA". From Rfam's summary of the family: Transfer RNA (tRNA) molecules are approximately 80 nucleotides in length. RNAcentral also lists the same sequence under 2 other names. The record is from RNAcentral.
GGGAGCUUAACUCAGGGGUCAGAGUGCUACCUUCACACGGUAGAAGUCACAGGUUCAAAUCCUGUAGCUCCCACCA